This is a non-coding RNA of Phrynosoma platyrhinos (Desert horned lizard), 71 nucleotides long. Lineage: Eukaryota; Metazoa; Chordata; Lepidosauria; Squamata; Phrynosomatidae. The record is from the annotation of a GenBank genome assembly.
GCCAGUGUGGUGUAGUGGUUUGAGUGUUGGACUACAACUCUGGAGACCAGGGUUCAAUUCCCAACUUGACC